This 377-nucleotide unclassified non-coding RNA is filed under the name plant metagenome. RNAcentral describes it as "partial contains 5.8S ribosomal RNA, internal transcribed spacer 2, and large subunit ribosomal RNA". The stretch from base 1 to 104 matches the Rfam family "5.8S ribosomal RNA", at positions 51 to 154 of the family's 154-position model. The record is from RNAcentral.
AAAUGCGAUAAGUAAUGUGAAUUGCAGAAUUCAGUGAAUCAUCGAAUCUUUGAACGCACAUUGCGCUCCUUGGUAUUCCUUGGAGCAUGCCUGUUUGAGUAUCAUGAAAUCUUCAAAGUAAAUCUUUUGUUAACUCAAUUGGUUUCUACUUUGGUAUUGGAGGUCUUUGCAGCUUCACACCUGCUCCUCUUUGUUCAUUAGCUGGAUCUCAGUGUUAUGCUUGGUUCCACUCGGCGUGAUAAGUUAUCUAUCGCUGAGGACACUGUAAAAGGUGGCCAAGGUAAAUGCAGAUGAACCGCUUCUAAUAGUCCAUUGACUUGGACAAUACUUUUAUGAUCUGAUCUCAAAUCAGGUAGGACUACCCGCUGAACUUAAGC